UCAGGCCUAACACAUGCAAGUCGAACGCUAUCUUGUAUAGAGUGGCGCACGGGUGAGUAACGCGUGGGGACCUGCCUUUCUCUGCGGGACAACGGUUGGAAACGACCGCUAAUACCGCAUACGCCCUACGGGGGAAAGGUCAGCCGGAGAAAGAGGGGCCCGCGUUUGAUUAGCUAGUUGGUGGGGUAAUGGCCUACCAAGGCGACGAUCAAUAGCUGGUCUGAGAGGAUGAUCAGCCACACUGGGACUGAGACACGGCCCAGACUCCUACGGGAGGCAGCAGUGGGGAAUAUUGGACAAUGGGGGCAACCCUGAUCCAGCAAUGCCGCGUGUGUGAUGAAGGCCUUAGGGUUGUAAAGCACUUUCACUGGUGAAGAUGAUGACGGUAACCAGAGAAGAAGCCCCGGCUAACUUCGUGCCAGCAGCCGCGGUAAUACGAAGGGGGCGAGCGUUGUUCGGAAUUACUGGGCGUAAAGGGCGCGUAGGCGGCUCUUUAAGUUAGGCGUGAAAUCCCCGGGCUCAACCUGGGAACUGCGCUUAAGACUGGAGAGCUAGAAAACGGAAGAGGGUAGUGGAAUUCCCAGUGUAGAGGUGAAAUUCGUAGAUAUUGGGAAGAACACCAGUGGCGAAAGCGGCUACCUGGUCCGGAUUUGACGCUGAGGCGCGAAAGCGUGGGGAGCAAACAGGAUUAGAUACCCCG
Molecule: ribosomal RNA, 700 nt
Filed under: uncultured bacterium
Lineage: Bacteria
Description: bacterial SSU rRNA
Rfam family: Bacterial small subunit ribosomal RNA
Source: RNAcentral